This 252-nucleotide ribosomal RNA is filed under the name uncultured bacterium. Its description in RNAcentral is "partial 16S ribosomal RNA". It matches the Rfam family "Bacterial small subunit ribosomal RNA", at positions 524 to 775 of the family's 1533-position model. The record is from RNAcentral.
GACGAACCGUGCGAACGUUAUUCGGAUUCACUGGGCUUAAAGGGCGCGUAGGCGGGCAUGCAAGUCAGGGGUGAAAUCUUUCGGCUUAACCGGAAAAGUGCCUCUGAUACUGCGUGCCUCGAGGGAGGUAGGGGCGUGUGGAACUUCCGGUGGAGCGGUGAAAUGCGUAGAUAUCGGAAGGAACGCCGGUGGCGAAAGCGACGCGCUGGACCUCUUCUGACGCUGAGGCGCGAAAGCCAGGGGAGCAAACGG